Molecule: ribosomal RNA, 328 nt
Filed under: uncultured eukaryote
Lineage: Eukaryota
Description: partial 18S ribosomal RNA
Rfam family: Eukaryotic small subunit ribosomal RNA
Source: RNAcentral
CCCUUAGAUGUCCUGGGCCGCACGCGCGUUACACUGAUGCAUUCAACGAGCUCAUAACCUUGGCCGAGAGGCCUGGGCAAUCUUGUUAACGUGCAUCGUGAUAGGGAUAGAUUAUUGAAAUUAUUAAUCUUGAACGAGGAAUUCCUAGUAAACGCAGAUCAUCAAUCUGCAUUGAUUACGUCCCUGCCCUUUGUACACACCGCCCGUCGCACCUACCGAUUGGAUGGUCCGGUGAAGCCUCGGGAUUGUGGUUCUUGCCGCUUUAUUGUGGCGUGACCGCGAGAACUUGUCUAAACCUUAUCAUCUAGAGGAAGGUGAAGUCGUAACA